RNAcentral lists this long non-coding RNA (833 nucleotides) under Androctonus crassicauda. The record is from RNAcentral. Lineage: Eukaryota; Metazoa; Arthropoda; Arachnida; Scorpiones; Buthidae.
UUCUGAAAAACUGCAGCACAUUUGCAAAAUGAAGAUAAAUGAUAAGACUAAAAUUGUCUAAAAUAAUAACUAAAUUUGUGUGUAAAAACCACUAGAAUUAUAAUUUGUAAUAAUAGCAUUUGUCAGAAAUACAAGAAAAAUUGAAGUCCAUUCAAAACAUGCACCAGAAAAGAUCACACCAGUCCUCGAACAUUAUUGCUAGGCAAUGACUGUUAUACUAACAUCUGUGAAUUAGUAGAAACAAUAGUGUCAAAUAAAACUUCCUAAUUUAAAAACUGAUGGUCAGAUAUGGAUAAUUCUUACAUAGUUUUGUUUCUUGACAUUCAACAAUCACAUAGUAACAAGAAUAAAUCACAAAAUUUGAAAAAUUCAUGCAAUACUAGACAAAAAUUGCAGCACCACAAAGACCAUCUUUACUGUUUUAGGAAAUGGAAGAGAUUCUUGCAUACAUGGCAAACACAAUACCAUGAAUGGGAACUUUUUGAAUGCUCUUUAUAGUUAAGCUUCCAUAUUGCAUAUGGGAUAUGCUAUAUCUUAUGGUGGCCACUUUUACAGUCCAUCACAGGCUGAUCAACACCUAUGAUGGGAUCACUUAGAAGAUUAAAGACAAGGUUCAAUGAGUCAAUGAGCUGAAUCCAAUCCUUCUUGAAAAACUGUAGUUAACUGUAAAACCAUAAACUAUUUUUAUUGUUACACUUUUAUGACACACUGUCUAACAGUGAUGAUCAACCUUUUUUGUUAUGUGAGCUACUUUUCUAUACUAAGUUAUUUAGCAAUCUAUUCUCUUAUAUGGAUCACGUUCCCCCAAUCCAAGGAGCUUGCCCCAACCUGAU